This 496-nucleotide ribosomal RNA is filed under the name uncultured bacterium. Its description in RNAcentral is "partial 16S ribosomal RNA". It matches the Rfam family "Bacterial small subunit ribosomal RNA", at positions 29 to 507 of the family's 1533-position model. The record is from RNAcentral.
AUGCACGCUGGCGGCGUGCCUCAUACAUGCAAGUCGAGCGAACAGAUAAGGAGCUUGCUCCUUUGACGUUAGCGGCGGACGGGUGAGUAACACGUGGGUAACCUACCUAUAAGACUGGGAUAACUUCGGGAAACCGGAGCUAAUACCGGAUAACAUUUGGAACCGCAUGGUUCUAAAGUGAAAGAUGGUUUUGCUAUCACUUAUAGAUGGACCCGCGCCGUAUUAGCUAGUUGGUAAGGUAACGGCUUACCAAGGCGACGAUACGUAGCCGACCUGAGAGGGUGAUCGGCCACACUGGAACUGAGACACGGUCCAGACUCCUACGGGAGGCAGCAGUAGGGAAUCUUCCGCAAUGGGCGAAAGCCUGACGGAGCAACGCCGCGUGAGUGAUGAAGGGUUUCGGCUCGUAAAACUCUGUUAUUAGGGAAGAACAAAUGUGUAAGUAACUGUGCACGUCUUGACGGUACCUAAUCAGAAAGCCACGGCUAACUACGUG